CCUACGGGCGGCAGCAGUGGGGAAUAUUGCACAAUGGGGGAAACCCUGAUGCAGCAACGCCGCGUGAGUGAAGAAGUAUCUCGGUACGUAAAGCUCGAUCAGCAGGGAAGAAAAUGACGGUAACUGACUAAGAAGCCACGGCGAACGACGUGCCAGCAGCCGCGGUAAUACGUCGGGGGCAAGCGUUAUCCGGAUUUACUGGGUGGCAAGGGAGCGUAGACGGGCGCACAAGUAUGGAGUGAAAUCCCGGUGCUUAACCCCGGAACUGCUUGGGAAACGGUGCGGCUGCAGUGCAGGAGGGGUGAGCGGACUUCCUCUUGUAGCGGUGAACUGCGUCGUUCUUCG
Molecule: ribosomal RNA, 345 nt
Filed under: uncultured bacterium
Lineage: Bacteria
Description: partial 16S ribosomal RNA
Rfam family: Bacterial small subunit ribosomal RNA
Source: RNAcentral